RNAcentral lists this ribosomal RNA (426 nucleotides) under uncultured bacterium. RNAcentral's name for it is "partial 16S ribosomal RNA". It matches the Rfam family "Bacterial small subunit ribosomal RNA", at positions 354 to 796 of the family's 1533-position model. The record is from RNAcentral.
GUGGGGAAUAUUGCGCAAUGGGGGAAACCCUGACGCAGCAACGCCGCGUGAGUGAUGAAGGCUUUCGAGUCGUAAAACUCUGUCUUUGGGGACGAAUAAUGACGGUACCCAAGGAGGAAGCCCCGGCUAACUACGUGCCAGCAGCCGCGGUAAUACGUAGGGGGCAAGCGUUGUCCGGAAUCACUGGGCGUAAAGGGCGCGUAGGCGGUUUGUUAAGUCAGGUGUGAAAGUUUUCAGCUUAACUGGAAAAGUGCACUUGAAACUAACUUACUUGAGUACUGGAGAGGUAAGCGGAAUUCCUAGUGUAGCGGUGAAAUGCGUAGAUAUUAGGAAGAACACCAGUGGCGAAGGCGACUUUCUGGACGAUGUCUGACGCUGAGGCGCGAAAGCUAGGGGAGCGAACGGGAUUAGAAACCCCGGUAGUCC